This 468-nucleotide ribosomal RNA is filed under the name uncultured bacterium. Its description in RNAcentral is "partial 16S ribosomal RNA". It matches the Rfam family "Bacterial small subunit ribosomal RNA", at positions 28 to 523 of the family's 1533-position model. The record is from RNAcentral.
GAUGAACGCUGGCGGCGUGCCUAACACAUGCAAGUCGAGCGAUUCUCCUCGGAGAAGAGCGGCGGACGGGUGAGUAACGCGUGGGUAACCUGCCCUGUACACACGGAUAACAUACCGAAAGGUAUGCUAAUACGAGAUAAUAUGCUUUUAUCGCAUGGUAGAAGUAUCAAAGCUCCGGCGGUACAGGAUGGACCCGCGUCUGAUUAGCUAGUUGGUAAGGUAACGGCUUACCAAGGCGACGGUCAGUAGCCGACCUGAGAGGGUGAUUGGCCACAUUGGAACUGAGACACGGUCCGAACUCCUACGGGAGGCAGCAGUGGGGAAUAUUGCACAAUGGGCGAAAGCCUGAUGCAGCAACGCCGCGUGAGCGAUGAAGGCCUUCGGGUCGUAAAGCUCUGUCCUCAAGGAAGAUAAUGACGGUACUUGAGGAGGAAGCCCCGGCUAACUACGUGCCAGCCGCCGCGGUAA